GGUUGAGACUAGCCUAGCUUGGCACUUGAAGACAAGGAACCGUUAGCUUAGUUUAGCUUGUUAGUUUGAGUCUGGCUCUUCUUUGGUUUCCUUGGUUACUGUUUUAAAACGACCUAUCAGGUCUAAGAAUGACCGUCUGACCAAUGAGACGUCAGCGUGGCGUCCUGAGAGCAGUCUGCGUGUGAGACGUUAUUCUAGAACAUUACAGGUUGAUUCCUGGGAACAAAUAAUCUCCUGCCUCAGUCAGACGACCAACUGCUGAUUAACCUUGACCCAGAGAUCAAUGCCUGCGCGCACACACACACACACACACACACACACACACACACACACACACACACACACACACACACACACACACACACACACACACACACGCUGAGGUCCUACAGAACCCUGGCUCGUCUUCCCGCGCUCCGUCAGAGCCAAAGUGUUUGUUAGUGGGAGUGAAAAGAGGAGAGAGUCUGCUGGAUUACUGCUGGAUUACUGCACUGAUAGUCGCUGCUGCCAGUGAGAAGGUGCUGCUCCAGUUAGAGGGACAAAGGCGGGAGAGACCUGAGGACAAUCUGACCUCAGAUAUCCAUCAGGAAACACCUGGUUAAGGAGCGUCUCCAGCUACCUGUUGUCCAGUUAGCUCCUAGUUUACCAGAUAUAUGGAAAUCUCAAAGAUGGAACUGCCAGCCCUGGGGUGAUGACGUCAUCAGGUCCGUUCUGGACUGGAGUCUACAAUCACAGCAAGGCCAACUUUAAAAAGCCUGAAUAAUGUUAUUCACCACUGGAGGAGCCAGUCAUUUACCCAGAAUGCAUUGCAAUGUGAACAACAUGGCGACAUUCCUGUGAAAACAUUUUAUUAAAAUUUAUAAGUAA
Poeciliopsis prolifica (blackstripe livebearer) is the source of this 867-nucleotide long non-coding RNA. RefSeq lists it as uncharacterized. The transcript has 2 exons. NCBI's taxonomy places the organism in Eukaryota, Metazoa, Chordata, Actinopteri, Cyprinodontiformes, Poeciliidae. The record is from RefSeq and is a predicted model, not a curated record.